RNAcentral lists this ribosomal RNA (492 nucleotides) under uncultured bacterium. Its description in RNAcentral is "partial 16S ribosomal RNA". It matches the Rfam family "Bacterial small subunit ribosomal RNA", at positions 29 to 507 of the family's 1533-position model. The record is from RNAcentral.
AGUGAACGCUGGCGGUAGGCCUAAUACAUGCAAGUCGAACGGCAGCACAGUAAGAGCUUGCUCUUACGGGUGGCGAGUGGCGGACGGGUGAGGAAUACAUCGGAAUCUACUUUUUCGUGGGGGAUAACGUAGGGAAACUUACGCUAAUACCGCAUACGACCUACGGGUGAAAGCAGGGGAUCUUCGGACCUUGCGCGAUUGAAUGAGCCGAUGUCGGAUUAGCUAGUUGGCGGGGUAAAGGCCCACCAAGGCGACGAUCCGUAGCUGGUCUGAGAGGAUGAUCAGCCACACUGGAACUGAGACACGGUCCAGACUCCUACGGGAGGCAGCAGUGGGGAAUAUUGGACAAUGGGCGCAAGCCUGAUCCAGCCAUACCGCGUGGGUGAAGAAGGCCUGCGGGUUGUAAAGCCCUUUUGUUGGGAAAGAAAAGCAGCAGGUUAAUACCCCGCUGUUCUGACGGUACCCAAAGAAUAAGCACCGGCUAACUUCGUG